This 72-nucleotide transfer RNA is filed under the name bacterium. RNAcentral's name for it is "tRNA-Ile". It matches the Rfam family "tRNA". Rfam says of the family: Transfer RNA (tRNA) molecules are approximately 80 nucleotides in length. Their secondary structure includes four short double-helical elements and three loops (D, anti-codon, and T loops). The record is from RNAcentral.
GGGCCUGUAGUUCACCGGUAGAACAAGAUCCUUAUAAGAUCGAGGUAGAUGGUUCGACUCCAUCCAGGCCCA